RNAcentral lists this ribosomal RNA (253 nucleotides) under uncultured bacterium. RNAcentral describes it as "partial 16S ribosomal RNA". It matches the Rfam family "Bacterial small subunit ribosomal RNA", at positions 524 to 776 of the family's 1533-position model. The record is from RNAcentral.
UACGUAGGGGGCUAGCGUUGUUCGGAAUCAUUGGGCGUAAAGCGCACGUAGGCGGCUUGUUAAGUCAGGGGUGAAAUCCCGGAGCUCAACUCCAGAACUGCCUUUGAUACUGGCGAUCUUGAGUCCGGGAGAGGUGAGUGGAACUCCGAGUGUAGAGGUGAAAUUCGUAGAUAUUCGGAAGAACACCAGUGGCGAAGGCGGCUCACUGGCCCGGUACUGACGCUGAUGUGCGAAAGCGUGGGGAGCAAACAGG